AAGGUCCACGUUCUUGUAUUUGAACUGAAAAGUAACCCUUCUCUCAGGAUUCAUCUUGCUAACAAGUCUUGGAUUCCUGAAAUAAUGCGAAACAACUAAGAGUUUUGCUUUUUAUGCAUAUGCAAUGAAUGAAUGGAUGCAAUGCCUUUUUUUAUUUUUUUAUUUUUUUUGGAUAGGUUCAACGGUUCGAGGUAUGGAUAAAUUUGAUUGCUUUCCAAAACGGGGUUCUCACCGGGUAUGAUCUAGGGCUUUGUUACAAAGGAUCCCCAGAGUCAUUGAUUCACAAGACUGUUUGACGCUUACGGGAAAUACUUCCCGGUCGUCAACUCCAUCAAGGGAAUCUAUUCUGGGUGAGGUUCUCGUACCGACUCUUACGAAGCAUACACCUCGCGAGUCCGUACUACGUAACCAUCGACUGGGUUCUAGACAGGGUACUCAGAGUCCUGGAUUCAAAAGACUGUUUGACGCUUACG
This 473-nucleotide long non-coding RNA is filed under the name Lathyrus oleraceus (garden pea). Its description in RNAcentral is "Pisum sativum (pea) long non-coding RNA (PSAT_LNC012894)". Lineage: Eukaryota; Viridiplantae; Streptophyta; Magnoliopsida; Fabales; Fabaceae. The record is from RNAcentral.